UGGUCUAGUGGUUAGGAUUCGGCG
RNAcentral lists this non-coding RNA (24 nucleotides) under Xenopus tropicalis (tropical clawed frog). The record is from RNAcentral. Lineage: Eukaryota; Metazoa; Chordata; Amphibia; Anura; Pipidae. RNAcentral also lists the same sequence under 5 other names.